AGUCAGCUUUCUUCCCCGUAGCUUGUACACUUUCUUUGAAAAUCGAUCUAUUUGAAGAAAAACAGCCCUGUUUUUCUCGUCUUUGGUGUUGGGGGUUGGGGGGAGCUGGUGGGUGAGGGAAAGGAAGACCUUUUCUUUGUGUAGAGAGACUAAAGCCGUCACAGGAAACUAGAUUAAAACUGGAAAACAAGUCCUAGCUGGUUCCAGCAAACACCAACGUUAAGUGGGGGGUAUUUUCUAUGGUGGUUGGGCGGCUGGUGCGUCUUGUGCCUUUUGUUUGAUUUGACUGUAUUUUCGCCUUUUGUCUCUUAAUGACGAUCACACCAUUGCUAUAUCCAGAGCAGUAAACAGUCCUCAGCGAAGCCGCCUUUUUGCCUACCCAACCCUGGAAAGUUUGCAGAAGUGGAAGGAGCAGAACGUGAGGGUGUAACUUACAAAAAGGUUCUGGGCCGGAGAAGGGGCGACGUUCGGGCACCCCCCGAAUGGACAAUCUUUCCUUCUGUCAACGGCAGGGGCAGGCCUAGUUUGACUCUGACAGUCCUCCCACUAAGGAAUUCCUGGUGACUGGAAGGGGGAGUGACUCAGGCCCUCAACCUCUAGCAGAGUGCCUUGGCUCCCUCCUGUCGUCCUGGGGAACCUCGGCCCCAGCCCUGCCUCCCCAGCCAGUCACAGCUCCUCCCUGGUCACCCUGAGGGAGCUCAGGGCCCGGCUGGUAGCUGGGUUGCUCUGCUUCUGUCCCCCACUCCUGUGGAGCCUGGCAGGCAACUCCAUGAUCUGACCCCGGUUACCUUGACAGCCCUGCCUGGCCUCCCCUCUCAUGGCCCAGCCACCCCAGAACCUGAAGAGGUUUUCUAGCUGCCGUGCAUUUGCCAGGCUGGGUUACCCACCCUACUUUCCCUGCCUGCCCUCCAGUGCUGCCAGGCCUAGUGUGCCAGCCAGCGCUCAGCCUUCAGUAAAGGGUUCCCCUGCUUCCAACCUCCAUUGCACUGCUUCCCCUAAGACUGUGACCUCCUGGAAGGCUGGAGCACAACUGCCUCUCAAUAAACGUGUUGCAAAAA
RNAcentral lists this long non-coding RNA (1058 nucleotides) under Homo sapiens (human). RNAcentral's name for it is "non-protein coding LINC01089:22". Lineage: Eukaryota; Metazoa; Chordata; Mammalia; Primates; Hominidae. The record is from RNAcentral.